CGCCUUGCCAGCCCGCUCAGAACUCAAAGGAAUUGACGGGGGCCCCGCACAAGCGGUGGAGUAUGUGGUUUAAUUCGAUGCAACGCGAAGAACCUUACCUGGUCUUGACAUCCCGGAGACCCUUAGGAAACUAGGGGGUGCUUCCAUCUGGAAGAAUCUGGAGACAGGUGCUGCAUGGCUGUCGUCAGCUCGUGUCGUGAGAUGUUGGGUUAAGUCCCGCAACGAGCGCAACCCUUGCCUUUAGUUGCCAGCAGUUCGGCUGGGCACUCUAAAGGGACUGCCGGUGUUAAACCGGAGGAAGGUGGGGAUGACGUCAAGUCCUCAUGGCCUUUAUGACCAGGGCUACACACGUACUACAAUGGCCGAUACAAAGGGCAGCGACACUGCGAGGUGAAGCCAAUCCCGUAAAAUCGGUCUCAGUCCGGAUUGGAGUCUGCAACUCGACUCCAUGAAGUUGGAAUCGCUAGUAAUCGUGGAUCAGCAUGCCACGGUGAAUACGUUCCCGGGCCUU
This 511-nucleotide ribosomal RNA is filed under the name uncultured Desulfobulbus sp. RNAcentral describes it as "bacterial SSU rRNA". It matches the Rfam family "Bacterial small subunit ribosomal RNA", at positions 903 to 1382 of the family's 1533-position model. Lineage: Bacteria; Pseudomonadati; Thermodesulfobacteriota; Desulfobulbia; Desulfobulbales; Desulfobulbaceae. The record is from RNAcentral.